CUAGGCUGAUGUGCACAUCUGCCUUAUCAGACCUGCAUAUCUACCUUAUCAGACCUGCGCAGCCUCUUUUAUCACCAGGCAGUGGGUACACAGUUUAUGAAGUCAAAUCUUCUGACUUUUAGGCAAGGAUGGAAACCUAGAGCCAUGAAGUUCUUCUGUGGGAAACUCUAGCGGAAGAUUUACUGACAGCACAUCACUGGAAUUCAAGAGGGCAGAGAAGGCAGCUUAGCUUGGCUGGCAGAGUGAAGGAGCAUCUGCUUUCCCAUCCAGGAACAGAUGUCAAUAAUUUUCCAGAGGGGAGGCCCUACAAGGUUACCAAUUCUAUUCAAAUUACACAAGAUGGACACUGUGUUCUACUAUCAAUGUACUCAAUAUAGCUUUCAAGAACAAUGUAAGAACAUUUAAUAUCAGUGCAUUUGCCUUGGUGGUGUCAUUUCCCUCCUUGGGUAUGACUGUCAGAAAGGUUUU
Molecule: long non-coding RNA, 468 nt
Organism: Dermochelys coriacea (leatherback sea turtle)
Lineage: Eukaryota; Metazoa; Chordata; Testudines; Dermochelyidae
Exons: 3
Source: RefSeq, a predicted model, not a curated record